AUUAUUGGGCGUAAAGAGCUCGUAGGCGGUUUGUUGCGUCGGCUGUGAAAACCUGAGGCUCAACCUCAGGCCUGCAGUCGAUACGAGCAGACUAGAGUGUUGCAGGGGAGACUGGAAUUCCUGGUGUAGCGGUGAAAUGCGCAGAUAUCAGGAGGAACACCGGUGGCGAAGGCGGGUCUCUGGGCAACAACUGACGCUGAGGAGCGAAAGCGUGGGGAGCGAACAGGAUUAGAUACCCUGGUAGUCCACGCCGUAAACGUUGGGCGCUAGGUGUGGGGCUCAUUCCACGAGUUCCGUGCCGCAGCUAACGCAUUAAGCGCCCCGCCUGGGGAGUACGGCCGCAAGGCUAAAACUCAAAGGAAUUGACGGGGGCCCGCACAAGCGGCGGAGCAUGUUGCUUAAUUCGAUGCAACGCGAAGAACCUUACCUAGGCUUGACAUGCACGGAAAUCCUCCAGAGAUGGUGGGUCCGUAAGGGCCGUGCACAGGUGGUGCAUGGUUGUCGUCAGCUCGUGUCGUGAGAGGUUGGGUUAAGUCCCGCAACGAGCGCAACCCUCGUUCUAUGUUGCCAGCACGUCAUGGUGGGGACUCAUAGGAGACUGCCGGGGUCAACUCGGAGGAAGGUGGGGAUGACGUCAAAUCAUCAUGCCCCUUAUGUCUAGGGCUGCAAACAUGCUACAAUGGCCGGUACAAAGGGCUGCGAUACCGCGAGGUGGAGCGAAUCCCAAAAAGCCGGUCUCAGUUCGGAUUGGGGUCUGCAACUCGACCCCAUGAAGUUGGAGUCGCUAGUAAUCGCAGAUCAGC
RNAcentral lists this ribosomal RNA (803 nucleotides) under uncultured bacterium. RNAcentral describes it as "bacterial SSU rRNA". It matches the Rfam family "Bacterial small subunit ribosomal RNA", at positions 550 to 1353 of the family's 1533-position model. The record is from RNAcentral.